UAACUCUCCUUGAUUAGGAAAUAUACCUCUUGCACUAAAGCUGGAUUGGUUUCGUAUAGCUGCAGCAGAUCCUUUAUAUACACUCCUUUUUAUUAACAAACACACGUUACUCUUUCCAGUAAUAACUAGAUCAUACAUUAGUUACCAAAUUUUAAUGCUAACAAUUUCUUAUGUACAUUUGGGAUAUUAAUUACUUGUCUAUUUAUUUAUGGUCAUAUAUUUUGGUCCUUUAGAAAAAAUAAAAAACAAAAGAAAUUAAAGACAGUGACUAUAAUGUUGUUCAAUUAAGCCUUAGAAAUUAACCGACUAUAUCCCCCUAAAACCAGCAAAAACCAAGGACUAAAUUCAUGUUACAUCCGACCACUCACCAUUUGAUCAUUUUUUUUUCUGAAUUAAGAGUUGUGGCUUAAUUUCAUUGAAAUGUUUAGAAACUCACUAGUAAUUUUUAAUUUUGCCAAAUUUUUUUCACCAUUAAGCCGUUCACUUGUAUAAUAGAAUAGCUUUUAUUUUAAUAUUAUUUAAUCCUUCAUUUAAUUUAUAGGAGAGAUCUUGAUCUAUUAAUUUUUCUCACUGUCAAAUUAAUCUCUCUUUCUUUCCCUGUUAACUAGUAAUAUUCUAUUAGCAUUUUCUUUUAAAAAAAAUUAGAUGACUAAUAUAUUCUCUUUUUCUCUGUUAACUAACCCUUUACUUUCUCUUUAUCUAUUUUCUUUUUUAUAUUUUUGUUCAUUAUAUGUGCUCCUUAAUUUUUUGUUUUGUAUAUAGUGAGCAGUGGUUGCGUUAUAUGUUUGCUAUGGACUAUGUGCCAUGCAUUCUUUGGAUUUUAUUAUAGCUAUAUUUGUGUUUUAACUUUUUUUUUUCUAUUGAGGCUUGUGAUUUCUGGUGCUUAUUUUUAAUAUUUUUUUAGGUAUGUUAAGCUUGUCAUAUAUUCAAUGGACAAGGAUUGGAUGCAAAUUAAGAAUAGAGCCCUUUUACAAUAUAGGAGAGGUGUCAACGAGUUCUUAGAUUUUGCCUUUAGUCAUACAAACGAUGAUAAGAUAUAUUGUCCGUGUUUUAAAUGCAAUAAUUGCCUUAGAAAAUCUCGUGAGCAAGUAGAAUUUGAUCUUCUAAGUCAUGGCAUAGUGAGAAAUUAUACAAUUUGGUACCACCAUGGAGAAUCGCUACAAGAUGAGUCACCCCAUUCAAGUUCAUUUGAUAGUCACGAUGAUUAUAUGGAUAAAGAUGACAUGGAAAACAUGUUAAGGGAUCAUUUUGGAGUUUGGGAUAUAGAAGAGGAUAUUGAAGAACCUAAUGAAGAGCAUAUAAAAGAGGAUAUAGGAGAACCUUAUGAAGAGCAUGUAGAAGAACCUAAUGAAGAUGCAGCAAAGUUUUACAAACUUUUGGAUGAUUCUGAGAAAGAACUAUAUCCAGGAUGUACGUACUUUUCAAAGCUCUCGUUUUUGAUGAGAUUAUUCCAUAUUAAAUGUCUUGGUGGAUGGAGUAAUAAAUCAUUUUCUAUGUUACUUGAGUUAUUGAAUGAUUCUUUUCCAAAAGGGGUACAACUACCGGCGUCUUACUAUGAAGCUAGGAAGAUUAUUCGAGAUCUUGGCUUGGAUUAUGAGAAAAUAGAUGCUUGUAUUAAUGAUUGUAUGCUAUUCUGGAAAGAUCAUGAUAAGAAAGAAACUUGUGAUCAUUGUGGUGCUUCAAGGUGGAAGUUUGAGGAGAAAGAUGGAAAGAGAAAAAAAAUUCCUAUAAAAGUUCUCCGUUACUUUCGAAUAACUCCAAGGCUUAAAAGAUUAUAUAUGUCAACAAAGACAGCAUUUGAUAUGAGAUGGCAUGAUGCAAAGCGAAUUGAUGAUGGGUAUUUACGUCAUCCAGCUGACUCAGAAGCAUGGAAAUCAUUUGAUGAGUUACAUAAGUCCUUUUCUGAUGAACCUAGAAAUGUAAGGCUUGGAUUAGCAAGUGAUGGGUUUAACCCCUUUGGAAAUAUGAGUACAAAAUACAGUGUUUGGCCUGUGGUACUUAUACCAUAUAACUUGCCACCUUGGAAAUGCAUGAAGGAUCCUUAUCUAAUGUUAUCAUUGCUUAUACCGGGUUCAAAAUCUCCAGGAAAGGCAAUAGAUACAUAUCUAAGGCCUUUAAUUGAAGAAUUAAAAGAAUUAUGGAAUGUAGGAGUUGAUACCUUUGAUGCAUAUGAAAAAAAAAAUUUUAAAAUGCGUGCAGCUAUAUUAUGGACAGUAAAUGACUUUCCAGCAUAUGGAGAUUUAUCUGGAUGGAAUACGAGAGGGGCACUUCGUUGUCCCACUUGUAAUGUUGAGACUCAAUCUAAGUUUCUUACUAAUGGAAAGAAAUUUUGCUUCCUAGGUCAUCGGCGCUUCUUGCCUAUUAGACAUAGAUGGCGACGUGAAAAAGAAUUGUUUGAUGGCACAAAAGAACUUAGGCGUCUUCCCAAGCAACUCUCUGGUGAUGAUAUUCUUCAACAAGUUUUUAACUUAGAAGGCUUAGUAGUUAGUAAUCAUAAAGAUAUUAAAAAAAGGAAGAGAAGUGCAGCAGGAAAAGAAAUGGGAAGUUCCAAUCCAUGGUUGAAAAAAAGCAUCUUCUUUGAAUUGCCAUAUUGGAGGACUUUAUUGUUGCGUCAUAAUUUAGAUGUCAUGCACAUAGAGAAGAAUAUAUGUGACAAUGUUCUUGGGACAUUGAUGGAUAUUCCAGGAAAAACAAAAGACAAUUUAAAUUCUCGUUUGGAUAUGGAAGAGUUAGGCAUAAAGAAAGAUUUACAUCCUAUUAGAGAGGGAGAAAAGGUGUUGUCAGUACCUGAUGCUAUUUAUAAAUUGAAUAAUAAAGAAAGGAGGAGUUUGUGUGAAUUUUUGCAAAAUGUCAAAGUACCAGAUGGAUAUUCUUCAAAUCUUAGGAGAUGUAUUAACCUAAAAGAGAAAAAGAUUUAUGGCUUAAAGACUCAUGAUUGUCAUGUUCUUCUAGAGUGCUUCCUUCCGCUUGUUUUACGAGGUCUUUUCUCAUCACAUGAUGUGCGUAGUGCAUUAAUAGGACUUUGCAGUUUUUUCAAGGAGUUGUGCUCAAAAGUUCUAACAGUGAAAAAUCUUGAGAAGAUUGAAGAACAAAUCAUUAUCACACUUUGCAAGUUGGAAAUGAUAUUUCCGCCUUCAUUUUUUGAUGUCAUGAUCCAUUUACCUAUCCAUUUGGCAAGUGAGGCUAAGAUUGCAGGACCGGUCCAUUAUCGAUGGAUGUACCCUAUUGAGAGGUAUUUACGUGGCUUAAAAGCUUAUGUACGUAAUCGAGCUCAUCCAGAAGGUUCAAUUGCUGAAGGAUAUCUUGCAAAUGAAUGCUUAUUAUUUUGCUCAAGAUACUUUAAUGGUAUUGAAACAAAGUAUAAUCGAGUUGGAAGAAAUUGGGAUGGUGCAAUAACUCAUGGUUAUAAAGUUGAAACAAAGGAUAAAGUAUUACCGAUUUUCAAGCAAAAUGGAAGACCCUCAAGAAAUUGUAAAGUGACAAGAAGAUUGAGUCUAGAAGAAAUAAAGCAAGCUCAUCUUUAUAUUUUGAAGAACUGUGAUCAAGUUACUCCUUUCAUAUACAAACAUAAAGAAAUAUUAGAAGAAGAGAACCCAAGAAAUGUUCAAAAACGACAUGAUCAAGAAUUUUCAGAUUGGUUUGAAAGUCAUGUUACAUGUUUGUACAAAGAAAAAGAUAAACAAGUAACCCAUCAACUUUUAUGUUUAGCAAGAGGUCCAGCAAGAGAAGCCACAUGCUAUAAAGGAUACAAAGCAAACGGUUUUAUCUUCCACACAAAAGAUUGUGAGAAUCAUAGAAAAACUCAAAGUAGUGGAGUUAUGGUAAAGCUAAAUUGUGGAAAGGAGUAUUAUGGAGUCAUUGAGGAUAUUGUGGAGUUAUCAUAUAUGAAUGAUAACAAAGUUGUAAUGUUCAAAUGCUUAUGGUGGGAUGUGGACAAUUAUGGUAGAGGAGUGAAAGUAGAUGAAUAUGGUGUCACCCUGGUAAAUAAAGGUCGCACUUUGAAGACAAGAGAAGUAUUUGUUAUGGCAUGUCAAUCUGAGCAAGUAUUCUAUGUUGAAGAUAUUUGUAACUCCAAUUGGCAAUGUGUUGUAAAAGUCACACCACGUGACUAUUUUAGUAUGCCUUUAGAAGAGGAGGAGGAGGAGGAAGUGGCUGAUGAUAUGUUUGAUGAAUAAAUAGAGUAAUAGAAAGAUUUUUUUUUUCUUGAAACCUUUUCUAAUAGAAAUUAAUUGCAAUUAUGUUUUUAGGAUUUUAAUGUCUUUAUUUAAUAUUUUUUAAUGAAAUCCUUUUGAUGUGCUGUUGUUGGUUUUAAUAAUGAAUAUGAUUUGUUGAUUUAGCCAAAGAUCUCAAAGAUUGCUAAUAGUGUUGCUGCUAGAAGAAAGAAAGGGAUUCAGAGUCUUGUAUCUAAAAGAAAUUUAGCUCCAUCAAGUCACUUACAACAAGCUGAUUUUCUUUCUAAUAAUGAUGGAGAGCAUGGAAAAAAAGCAAGUUCAUCAAGUCACCCACAAGUUAGAAGGACAUUUGACUCUCUUUCUAAUGAUGAUGGAGUGCAUGGAAAAAAAGUAAGUUCAUCAAGCCACUCACAAGUUAGAAGGACAUUUGACUCCCUUUCUAAUAAUGAUGGAGUGCAUGGAAAAAAAGCAAGUUCAUCAAGCCACUCACAAGUUAGAAGGACAUUUGACUCCCUUUCUAAUAAUGAUGGAGUGCAUGGAAAAAAAGCAAGUUCAUCAAGCCACUCACAAGUUAGAAGGACAUUUGACUCCCUUUCUAAUAAUGAUGGAGUGCAUGGAAAAAAAGUAAGUUCAUCAAGUCACUCACAACUUAGAAGGCAAUUUGACUCCCUUUCUAAUGAUGAUGAAGUGGAUGAAGAAGAAUUCGAAUCCGAUUUUGUUGCACCGAAAAAAAAAGUGAGAGGACCUACGCGCAAUCUUGAGUUAGCAAAGUUACCAGCUGGAAAAAGACUUGACAUAAACUGGAGAAUGAAUAGGCCAGUUGGUCCAAAUGCAAAGCUGUUCAAAUCAAGAUGCACUGUUCUAGUUCGUGAUGUGAAGAAUGCACCACUAAAGGUUAAAGAAUGGGCUGAUAUCAAAAUAGAGAACAAAAUAAAGAUGUUUGACCUAGUUUUGACAUACUUUAAAGUUGAAGGUCGAAAGCAUUUAGUAUGGGCUCAAAUGAAUUCUUCUUAUCGGAGUUAUCGACAUCUAUUAAAGAAAAGGUAUUUUGAACCUUAUGAUAACCCUGAAAUUGCUCGAGCCAAUAUACCAUUGGAAAUGGAAAAAGAGGAUUGGGAUUACCUUGUGAAUCUUUGGAUUGAUGAAGGCUGGCAGAAAAUAAGUCAACAAAAUAAGAUGAGUCGAGCUGCAAAUAGCAUUAUUCAUACCACUGGU
RNA transcript from Arachis duranensis, 5387 nucleotides. RefSeq lists it as uncharacterized. The record is from RefSeq and is a predicted model, not a curated record. NCBI's taxonomy places the organism in Eukaryota, Viridiplantae, Streptophyta, Magnoliopsida, Fabales, Fabaceae. The transcript is spliced from 7 exons.